UAGUAAUCGCAGAUCAGAAUGCUGCGGUGAAUGCGUUCCCGGGUCUUGUACACACCGCCCGUCACACCACGGGAGUUGGAGACGCCCGAAGCCGAUUAUCUAACCUUUUGGAAGAAGUCGUCGAAGGUGGAAUCAAUAACUGGGGUGAAGUCGUAACAAGGUAGCCGUAUCGGAAGGUGCGGCUGGAUCACCUCCUUUCUAAGGAGA
Molecule: ribosomal RNA, 207 nt
Filed under: Clostridioides difficile
Lineage: Bacteria; Bacillati; Bacillota; Clostridia; Peptostreptococcales; Peptostreptococcaceae
Description: partial 16S ribosomal RNA
Rfam family: Bacterial small subunit ribosomal RNA
Source: RNAcentral